RNAcentral lists this ribosomal RNA (137 nucleotides) under Microtus ochrogaster (prairie vole). Lineage: Eukaryota; Metazoa; Chordata; Mammalia; Rodentia; Cricetidae. The record is from RNAcentral.
GUCGAUGACCAUACCACCUUGAAGACACCUAAGUCUGUCUGACCUCGGAAGCUAAGCAGAGUCGGGCCCAGUUAGUACUUGGAUGAGAGGAGAGGAAUAACUAACCCUUCUCACAGGGCAGCUGUGAGGGACUGACU